UACGUAGGGUGCAAGCGUUGUCCGGAAUUAUUGGGCGUAAAGAGCGUGUAGGCGGUUCGGUAAGUCUGCCGUGAAAACCUGGGGCUCAACCCCGGGCGUGCGGUGGAUACUGCCGGGCUAGAGGGUGGUAGAGGCGAGUGGAAUUCCCGGUGUAGCGGUGAAAUGCGCAGAUAUCGGGAGGAACACCAGUAGCGAAGGCGGCUCGCUGGGCCAUUCCUGACGCUGAGACGCGAAAGCUAGGGGAGCGAACAGG
This 253-nucleotide ribosomal RNA is filed under the name uncultured bacterium. RNAcentral's name for it is "partial 16S ribosomal RNA". It matches the Rfam family "Bacterial small subunit ribosomal RNA", at positions 524 to 776 of the family's 1533-position model. The record is from RNAcentral.